Molecule: ribosomal RNA, 548 nt
Filed under: uncultured Glomeromycotina
Lineage: Eukaryota; Fungi; Glomeromycota
Description: SSU rRNA
Rfam family: Eukaryotic small subunit ribosomal RNA
Source: RNAcentral
UUGGAGGGCAAGUCUGGUGCCAGCAGCCGCGGUAAUUCCAGCUCCAAUAGCGUAUAUUAAAGUUGUUGCAGUUAAAAAGCUCGUAGUUGAAUUUCGGGAUUAAUUUAUUGGUCGUGCUAUCGUACGUACUGGUAUUAUUGAUUCCUACCUUCUGACGAACCACGAUGUCAUUAAUUUGGUGUCAUGGGGAAUCAGGACUGUUACUUUGAAAAAAUUAGAGUGUUUAAAGCAGGCUCACGCUUGAAUACAUUAGCGUGGAAUACCGAAAUAGGACGUUUGAUUCUAUUUUGUUGGCUUCUAGGAUCGACGUAAUGAUUAAUAGGGAUAGUUGGGGGCAUUAGUAUUCAAUUGUCAGAGGUGAAAUUCUUGGAUUUAUUGAAGACUAACUACUGCGAAAGCAUUUGCCAAGGAUGUUUUCAUUAAUUAAGAACGAAAGUUAGGGGAUCGAAGACGAUCAGAUACCGUCGUAGUCUUAACCAUAAACUAUGCCGACUAGGGAUCGGAUGAUGUUAAUCUUUUAAUGACUCAUUCGGCGCCUUACGGGAAAC